GAGAACCAAGAUAUCCAUUGUUAACAGUUGUUCGGUUUUUUUACCCAAUGUAUUACAUUGAGCUUCACAUUAAACUGUGGGGUUAUUAGGGGGCAUGGGGACCCUUUGGCAAAGCUCCUGCCCGAGUGUACGGUCUACAGGAAUCGUAGAAGCGCUAUCCUUGCACAAUCAAUGACACUUUCCGACACUGACUGCUUGGGGAAACAUUGCCUAUAGAACUACCGCUCGAUUGUAACUGUUCCAAUGUUCGCACGUAGCCAGAGGUCUCUAAAUCACUACAACUUUCCGGGCUAUGAUUGAUCAGAGAUUGCGAACUACGCGGGUUACAAGAUAACAAGGUUUCCGUAGGUGAACCGGCGGAAGGAUCAUUAACACGUAUCCAAACGUUAAAACCCCCCCCGUGAACCUUCAUCCUACGACUU
RNAcentral lists this unclassified non-coding RNA (422 nucleotides) under fungal sp. Its description in RNAcentral is "partial internal transcribed spacer region". The record is from RNAcentral. Lineage: Eukaryota; Fungi.